Long non-coding RNA from Suricata suricatta (meerkat), 512 nucleotides. RefSeq lists it as uncharacterized. Lineage: Eukaryota; Metazoa; Chordata; Mammalia; Carnivora; Herpestidae. The record is from RefSeq and is a predicted model, not a curated record. The transcript has 3 exons.
UUUAUCGGUUUAUUUCUUUGAUAGUUUACGUUUUUUUGUGCCAACCUAAGAAAUCUUUGCCUAACCUUCUUUGACAAGGACAAUAAUUCUUUACGAAACCUAGAGAAAAUUUCUCCAUGGCUUUAAAACUUUCCUGAAACUUACUUCUGUGCAAAAGUUUUCAAGAUUAUAAGUUUCCUGAGAAUAAGGAUUGUGCUUUAUUCACCUUCAUUUCUCCAGUGCCCAGCAUAGAACCCUCACACAGGUACUGAGGAUAUGAAGUGAGUACAUACACUGAAAUACCACUGAAGACUGAGGCCUUCUGCAGUUCCUGAAAACCUUUCCAGAGCCAAUCCUGAAGCAAAUUCGAAGGCUCAGUCAUCUCCACAUCUGGAAUGGUUAACCUCACAUAGGAUCCCUGGAUGACUAUUAAAAACUUUGAGUUGGUUGCUGUAUAUAUUUUCUAGAACUUUCCAUUCCUGGUUACACACUCUCCACCUGUCAGCUGGUGCUGACUAUAGAAGUGACUUAUG